This 253-nucleotide ribosomal RNA is filed under the name uncultured bacterium. Its description in RNAcentral is "partial 16S ribosomal RNA". It matches the Rfam family "Bacterial small subunit ribosomal RNA", at positions 524 to 776 of the family's 1533-position model. The record is from RNAcentral.
UACGUAGGUGGCAAGCGUUGUUCGGAAUUAUUGGGCGUAAAGGGCGCGUAGGCGGUUUGUUAAGUCGGCUGUGAAAGCCCGGGGCUUAACCCCGGGUCUGCAGUGGAUACGGGCAGGCUAGAGUUCGGCAGGGGAGACUGGAAUUCCUGGUGUAGCGGUGAAAUGCGCAGAUAUCAGGAGGAACACCGGUGGCGAAGGCGGGUCUCUGGGCCGAUACUGACGCUGAGGAGCGAAAGCGUGGGGAGCGAACAGG